AGUUAAAAAGCUAAGAAAUAAGCCCAAUGUCUUGAAAACAUUGUGAAAGAAGUUAGAGUCUUCUAUUAACUU
This 72-nucleotide transfer RNA is filed under the name Procubitermes undulans. RNAcentral's name for it is "tRNA-Ser". The record is from RNAcentral. Lineage: Eukaryota; Metazoa; Arthropoda; Insecta; Blattodea; Termitidae.